GACGAACGCUGGCGGCGUGCUUAACACAUGCAAGUCGAACGAUGAACCCGGAGCUUGCUCCGGCGGAUUAGUGGCGAACGGGUGAGUAACACGUGAGUAACCUGCCCUUGACUCUGGGAUAACUGCUAGAAAUGGUAGCUAAUACCGGAUACGACCCUCGGUGGCAUCACCAGGGGGUGGAAAGAAUUUCGGUCAAGGAUGGACUCGCGGCCUAUCAGCUAGUUGGUGAGGUAACGGCUCACCAAGGCGACGACGGGUAGCCGGCCUGAGAGGGUGACCGGCCACACUGGGACUGAGACACGGCCCAGACUCCUACGGGAGGCAGCAGUGGGGAAUAUUGCACAAUGGGCGCAAGCCUGAUGCAGCGACGCCGCGUGAGGGAUGACGGCCUUCGGGUUGUAAACCUCUUUCAGCUAUGACGAAGCGCAAGUGACGGUAGUAGCAGAAGAAGGACCGGCCAACUACGUGCCAGCAGCCGCGGUAA
Molecule: ribosomal RNA, 484 nt
Filed under: uncultured bacterium
Lineage: Bacteria
Description: partial 16S ribosomal RNA
Rfam family: Bacterial small subunit ribosomal RNA
Source: RNAcentral